AGCUCCAAUAGCGUAUAUUAAAGUUGCUGCAGUUAAAAAGCUCGUAGUUGCAUUUCCGAGGCAAGGGAUUAGUCCGACCUUUGGUGGGUAUUUAAUCCUCUUGCCUCGUCCUUGAGUGGUGCUUCUUGGUAUUAAGUUAUCGAGGAGAUAGCCGCUCAUCGUUUACUGUGAGAAAAUUAGAGUGUUCAAAGCAGGCUUAUGCCGUUGAAUAUAUUAGCAUGGAAUAAUAAGAUAGGACCUCGUUACUAUUUUGUUGGUUUGAGAACCAAGGUAAUGAUUAAUAGGGACAGUUGGGGGUAUUCGUAUUCAGUUGUCAGAGGUGAAAUUCUUAGAUUUACGGAAGACGAACUACUGCGAAAGCAUUUACCAAGGAUGUUUUCA
This 381-nucleotide ribosomal RNA is filed under the name uncultured marine Chaetocerotaceae. Its description in RNAcentral is "SSU rRNA". It matches the Rfam family "Eukaryotic small subunit ribosomal RNA", at positions 587 to 972 of the family's 1831-position model. The record is from RNAcentral. Lineage: Eukaryota; Bacillariophyta; Thalassiosirophyceae; Chaetocerotales; Chaetocerotaceae.